GUCCCUGUAGCUCAGUCGGAUAGAGCGACCCUCUCCUAAAGGGUAGGCCACCGGUUCGAUUCCGGUCAGGGACACCC
Molecule: transfer RNA, 77 nt
Filed under: Glutamicibacter sp. BW78
Lineage: Bacteria; Bacillati; Actinomycetota; Actinomycetes; Micrococcales; Micrococcaceae
Description: tRNA-Arg
Rfam family: tRNA
About the family: Transfer RNA (tRNA) molecules are approximately 80 nucleotides in length. Their secondary structure includes four short double-helical elements and three loops (D, anti-codon, and T loops).
Source: RNAcentral